Molecule: ribosomal RNA, 465 nt
Filed under: Vreelandella stevensii
Lineage: Bacteria; Pseudomonadati; Pseudomonadota; Gammaproteobacteria; Oceanospirillales; Halomonadaceae
Description: partial 16S ribosomal RNA
Rfam family: Bacterial small subunit ribosomal RNA
Source: RNAcentral
CCUACGGGGGGCUGCAGUGGGGAAUACUGGACAAUGGGGGGAACCCUGAUCCAGCCAUGCCGCGUGUGUGAAGAAGGCCCUCGGGUUGUAAAGCACUUUCAGUGAGGAAGAACGCCUGGUGGUUAAUACCCAUCAGGAAAGACAUCACUCACAGAAGAAGCACCGGCUAACUCCGUGCCAGCAGCCGCGGUAAUACGGAGGGUGCGAGCGUUAAUCGGAAUUACUGGGCGUAAAGCGCGCGUAGGUGGCUUGAUAAGCCGGUUGUGAAAGCCCCGGGCUCAACCUGGGAACGGCAUCCGGAACUGUCAAGCUAGAGUGCAGGAGAGGAAGGUAGAAUUCCCGGUGUAGCGGUGAAAUGCGUAGAGAUCGGGAGGAAUACCAGUGGCGAAGGCGGCCUUCUGGACUGACACUGACACUGAGGUGCGAAAGCGUGGGUAGCAAACAGGAUUAGAUACCCGGGUAGUC